UGAUAUUGAGCUUUACAUGCACUUGAACAGACUAGAAAUUGCACCACAGAUAUAUGGGUUCUGCCCUUGGAAGAAUUUGGAAACUCCAAGGGACAACACUUUAGUGAAAUGAGAAUUUAUUUGUGCUUGGCACAGUGUUCUAAUGAAGAGGGUUUCUUGGGCUGCUUUGUUUUGUGAGGAGGUGGCCAGUGAGGAAAGAGAAGAUUGAUGAUAGCCAGCACCUUGGAGGAUGCUUUUGAUUACAAGCUUCAGAAUAUCUUGCCUCAAACUAGCUGAAGUCUGGAGGUACUGUGACACAAGAGGCUCAAUUAAGGAUCCAAGAUUUUCGCCAUAUUUCCGCUGUGUUAACUUCAUCAUCAGUUUCUUAAGACAUACUCUCUUGUAAUCACAAAGUGAUUGACAAUGAUUUUGGAGCUAUAGGCUUUCUUGUUCUAGCCAAACUGGUGAGACAGAAUAAAACCGUUCACCAAGUACAA
RNAcentral lists this long non-coding RNA (476 nucleotides) under Homo sapiens (human). Its description in RNAcentral is "non-protein coding lnc-DAZL-5:1". Lineage: Eukaryota; Metazoa; Chordata; Mammalia; Primates; Hominidae. The record is from RNAcentral.